RNAcentral lists this Y RNA (101 nucleotides) under Microcebus murinus (gray mouse lemur). Its description in RNAcentral is "Y RNA (ENSMICG00000042460.1)". It matches the Rfam family "Y RNA". From Rfam's summary of the family: Y RNAs are components of the Ro ribonucleoprotein particle (Ro RNP), in association with Ro60 and La proteins. The Y RNAs and Ro60 and La proteins are well conserved, but the function of the Ro RNP is not known. The record is from Rfam by way of RNAcentral. Lineage: Eukaryota; Metazoa; Chordata; Mammalia; Primates; Cheirogaleidae.
GGUGGGUCCAAGUGCAGUGGCAUUAUAACUAAUUGAUCACAACCAGUUACAGAUUCCUUUGUUCCUUCUCCACUCCCACUACUUCACUCGACCAACUUAAA